Molecule: long non-coding RNA, 356 nt
Organism: Grammomys surdaster
Lineage: Eukaryota; Metazoa; Chordata; Mammalia; Rodentia; Muridae
Exons: 2
Source: RefSeq, a predicted model, not a curated record
AGCAUCUGCCUCUUUGAAAACAGACGAGGCAGAGUCAUGGUUUCAAAGAAGCUGAUGAAAACAUUUCCAAUAGUGAAGGGAUAAACUAAAAGGUAUCAUCUUCUCACUUUGUAUCUCUUGCUGACAACAAACAAAUCAACAAACAAACAAGCAAGCAAACGAUAAAACAGAACAAACCAAAUGCAAACAAACACCCUCCCCCUAAAAAAAAAAAAAAUCAAACCAGAAUUCAUCUUGGUAUUUAAACAAUUAGUUUUUACUUAAUAUAACUUUACUGUUCAAAAAUUAUACUUACUAUAGCUACAACAUAGUUUAUAAGGACCAAACUUUUAUAGUAAAACCUUGAUACACAAACA